RNAcentral lists this ribosomal RNA (492 nucleotides) under uncultured bacterium. RNAcentral's name for it is "partial 16S ribosomal RNA". It matches the Rfam family "Bacterial small subunit ribosomal RNA", at positions 29 to 507 of the family's 1533-position model. The record is from RNAcentral.
AGUGAACGCUGGCGGUAGGCCUAACACAUGCAAGUCGAACGGCAGCACAGUAAGAGCUUGCUCUUACGGGUGGCGAGUGGCGGACGGGUGAGGAAUACAUCGGAAUCUACUUUUUCGUGGGGGAUAACGUAGGGAAACUUACACUAAUACCGCAUACGACCUACGGGUGAAAGCAGGGGAUCUUCGGACCUUGCGCGAUUGAAUGAGCCGAUGUCGGAUUAGCUAGUUGGCGGGGUAAAGGCCCACCAAGGCGACGAUCCGUAGCUGGUCUGAGAGGAUGAUCAGCCACACUGGUACUGAGACACGGUCCAGACUCCUACGGGAGGCAGCAGUGGGGAAUAUUGGACAAUGGGCGCAAGCCUGAUCCAGCCAUACCGCGUGGGUGAAGAAGGCCUUCGGGUUGUAAAGCCCUUUUGUUGGGAAAGAAAAGCAGCAGGUUAAUACCCCGCUGUUCUGACGGUACCCAAAGAAUAAGCACCGGCUAACUUCGUG